GUAGUAGAGAACUAGCCUUGAGCAAAAAAAAGCUCAGGGAUGGCACUCAGGUCCUGAGUUUAAGCCCCAUGACUGACAAAAAAAAAAAUAAUUGUAUUUUAAAUGAUUGAAUAAUUGAAAUGUAGGAUGGACAUAAAUCCAUAAUUUUUUUCUAGUUAGAAAUUUCAUCUAAAACAAUGCACAGGAUGUUGUAUUUGUUAGAUAUCUUUUUAUUUUAUUUUUUGGUCAUGGGGCUUUUCUAGUGGUUAUUUGGAUAUAAGAGUCUCAUGGACUUUCCUGACCUCAGGAUGGUUUUGAACAAUCCUCAGAUCUCAGGCUUCUGAGUAGCUGGGAUUACAGGUGUGAGCCACCAGUGCCCAGCUUAAUGUCAUUUAAUUAUGAAAAGAUGUAAGCUAAGCUCUUCAGAGAAGCCUUAACUAUAUUGAAAGCAAUGGAAUUUUGAUGUUUUAAAUAGAUGAGAUAACCUAGUUUCUGGCUUGAGUAUUUCACUGUAAAGCAGUUGUCACUGAAUUGGAAAGAAAGAAGAAUGUAUUUUUUUCUACAGACUAUGGUGAGUAAAACAGUGAAUUAGACUGGAAACAGAAACAAAUUUUAAAAUUGGAGUUUUUAUUUUUUGGUCAUGGGGCUUGAAUUUAGGGCCUGGGCAUUGUCUCUG
This is a long non-coding RNA of Perognathus longimembris pacificus (Pacific pocket mouse), 655 nucleotides long. RefSeq lists it as uncharacterized. NCBI's taxonomy places the organism in Eukaryota, Metazoa, Chordata, Mammalia, Rodentia, Heteromyidae. The transcript is spliced from 3 exons. The record is from RefSeq and is a predicted model, not a curated record.